Molecule: ribosomal RNA, 262 nt
Filed under: uncultured bacterium
Lineage: Bacteria
Description: partial 16S ribosomal RNA
Rfam family: Bacterial small subunit ribosomal RNA
Source: RNAcentral
GAUCCUGGCUCAGGACGAACGCUGGCGGCGUGCUUAACACAUGCAAGUCGAACGGAAAGGCCCUGCUUUUGUGGGGUGCUCGAGUGGCGAACGGGUGAGUAACACGUGAGUAACCUGCCCUUGACUUUGGGAUAACUUCAGGAAACUGGGGCUAAUACCGGAUAGGAGCUCCUGCUGCAUGGUGGGGGUUGGAAAGUUUCGGCGGUUGGGGGAUGGACUCGCGGCUUAUCAGCUUGUUGGUGGGGUAGUGGCUUACCAAGGU